CCUACGGGAGGCAGCAGUGGGGAAUCUUCCGCAAUGGGCGAAAGCCUGACGGAGCAACGCCGCGUGAUCGAAUGAAGGCCUUCGGGUUGUAAAGAUCUGUUGCCAGGGACGAAUACGCAAUGCGAAUAGUUUUGUGUAUGACGGUACCUGUUUAGAAAGCUCCGGCUAACUACGUGCCAGCAGCCGCGGUAAUACGUAGGGAGCAAGCGUUGUCCGGAAUUACUGGGCGUAAAGGGCGCGUAGGUGGGCGCUUAAGUCAGGUGUGAAAACUCCGGGCUCAACCUGGAGACUGCACUUGAAACUGGGUGUCUUGAGUGAGUGAGAAGUAUGCGGAAUGCGUGGUGUAGCGGUGAAAUGCAUAGAUAUCACGCAGAACUCCGAUUGCGAAGGCAGCAUACCGGCGCUCAACUGACGCUCAUGCACGAAAGUGUGGGUAUCGAACAGGAUUAGAUACCCCUGUAGUC
This 464-nucleotide ribosomal RNA is filed under the name uncultured bacterium. RNAcentral describes it as "partial 16S ribosomal RNA". It matches the Rfam family "Bacterial small subunit ribosomal RNA", at positions 338 to 795 of the family's 1533-position model. The record is from RNAcentral.